Molecule: ribosomal RNA, 253 nt
Filed under: uncultured bacterium
Lineage: Bacteria
Description: partial 16S ribosomal RNA
Rfam family: Bacterial small subunit ribosomal RNA
Source: RNAcentral
UACGUAGGGACCGAGCGUUGUCCGGAAUCAUUGGGCGUAAAGAGCGUGUAGGCGGCCACUUAAGUCCUGCGUGAAAUCUUGCGGCUCAACCGCAAGCGGUCGUGGGAAACUGGGUGGCUAGAGUGCGGGAGAGGAGAGUGGAAUUCCUGGUGUAGCGGUGGAAUGCGCAGAUAUCAGGAAGAACACCCGUGGCGAAGGCGGCUCUCUGGACAAUUGCUGACGCUCAGGCACGAAAGCGUGGGGAGCAAACAGG